UACGAAGGGGGCUAGCGUUGUUCGGAAUUACUGGGCGUAAAGCGAACGUAGGCGGUGUUCCAUGUCAGAGGUGAAAGCCUGGGGCUCAACUCCAGAAUUGCCUUUGAAACGGGGACGCUUGAGUCCGAGAGAGGAUGGCGGAAUUCCUAGUGUAGAGAUGAAAUUCGUAGAUAUUAGGAAGAACACCGGUGGCGAAGGCGGCCAUCUGGCUCGGUACUGACGCUCAGGUUCGAAAGCGUGGGGAGCAAACAGG
Molecule: ribosomal RNA, 253 nt
Filed under: uncultured bacterium
Lineage: Bacteria
Description: partial 16S ribosomal RNA
Rfam family: Bacterial small subunit ribosomal RNA
Source: RNAcentral